Molecule: ribosomal RNA, 467 nt
Filed under: uncultured bacterium
Lineage: Bacteria
Description: partial 16S ribosomal RNA
Rfam family: Bacterial small subunit ribosomal RNA
Source: RNAcentral
GACGAACGCUGGCGGCGUGCUUAACACAUGCAAGUCGAACGGAAAGGCCCUGCUUUUGUGGGGUGCUCGAGUGGCGAACGGGUGAGUAACACGUGAGUAACCUGCCCUUGACUUUGGGAUAACUUCAGGAAACUGGGGCUAAUACCGGAUAGGAGCUCCUGCUGCAUGGUGGGGGUUGGAAAGUUUCGGCGGUUGGGGAUGGACUCGCGGCUUAUCAGCUUGUUGGUGGGGUAGUGGCUUACCAAGGCUUUGACGGGUAGCCGGCCUGAGAGGGUGACCGGCAACAUUGGGACUGAGAUACGGCCCAGACUCCUACGGGAGGCAGCAGUGGGGAAUAUUGCACAAUGGGCGGAAGCCUGAUGAAGCAACGCCGCGUGCGGGAUGCCGGCCUUCGGGUUGUAAACCGCUUUCGCCUGUGACGAAGCGUGAGUGACGGUAAUGGGUAAAGAGGCACCGGCUAACUACGU